This 254-nucleotide ribosomal RNA is filed under the name uncultured bacterium. RNAcentral's name for it is "partial 16S ribosomal RNA". It matches the Rfam family "Bacterial small subunit ribosomal RNA", at positions 524 to 776 of the family's 1533-position model. The record is from RNAcentral.
UACGGGGGGAGCAAGCGUUGUUCGGAUUUACUGGGCGUAAAGGGCGCGUAGGCGGCCACCGCAAGUCGGUUGUGAAAUCUCUGGGCUUAACCCAGAAAGGUCAACCGAUACUGCGGGGCUAGAGUGCAGAAGGGGCAACUGGAAUUCUCGGUGUAGCGGUGAAAUGCGUAGAUAUCGAGAGGAACACCUGCGGCGAAGGCGGGUUGCUGGGACGUUACUGACGCUGAGACGCGAAAGCGUGGGGAGCAAACAGG